Molecule: ribosomal RNA, 509 nt
Filed under: uncultured bacterium
Lineage: Bacteria
Description: bacterial SSU rRNA
Rfam family: Bacterial small subunit ribosomal RNA
Source: RNAcentral
UGUCCGUCGUCGACGCGUCAGAGAGUUAGUAUCAUGGCUCAGGACGACGCUGGCGGCAUGCCUAACACAUGCAAGUCGAACGGGGGUAGCAAUACCCUAGUGGCGAACGGGUGAGUAACACAUAAGCAAUCUGCCCUUCACAGGGGGAUAACAGCGGGAAACUGCUGCUAAUACCGCAUAAGACCACGGUACCGCAUGGUACAGGGUAAAAACGAAUCAGUGGUGAAGGAUGAGCUUAUGUCCCAUUAGCUAGUUGGUGAGAUAACAGCCCACCAAGGCGUCGAUGGGUAGCCGACCUGAGAGGGUGAUCGGCCACACUGGAACUGAGACACGGUCCAGACUCCUACGGGAGGCAGCAGUGGGGAAUAUUGGGCAAUGGAAGGAAACUCUUACCCAGCAAUGCCGCGUGAGUGAAGAAGGUCUUCGGAUUGUAAAGCUCUUUGAUUGGGGACGAAGAAAGUGACGGUACCCAAAGAACAAGCCCCGGCUAACUACGUGCCAGCCGCGGC